This 391-nucleotide ribosomal RNA is filed under the name uncultured Macrococcus sp. RNAcentral's name for it is "bacterial SSU rRNA". It matches the Rfam family "Bacterial small subunit ribosomal RNA", at positions 80 to 465 of the family's 1533-position model. The record is from RNAcentral. Lineage: Bacteria; Bacillati; Bacillota; Bacilli; Caryophanales; Staphylococcaceae.
CACUCCUUGAAGUUAGCGGCGGACGGGUGAGUAACACGUGGGUAACCUACCUAUAAGACUGGGAUAACUUCGGGAAACCGGAGCUAAUACCGGAUAAUAUAUACCUCCGCAUGGAGGAAUAGUCAAAGACGGUUCUGCUGUCACUUAUAGAUGGACCCGCGGUGUAUUAGCUAGUUGGUGAGGUAACGGCUCACCAAGGCAACGAUACAUAGCCGACCUGAGAGGGUGAUCGGCCACACUGGGACUGAGACACGGCCCAGACUCCUACGGGAGGCAGCAGUAGGGAAUCUUCCGCAAUGGACGAAAGUCUGACGGAGCAACGCCGCGUGAGUGAAGAAGGUUUUCGGAUCGUAAAACUCUGUUGUAAGGGAAGAACAAGUACGUUAGUAAC